AACGAGCGCUGGCGGCAGGCCUAACACAUGCAAGUCGAGCGAGGACUUCGGUUCUAGCGGCGGACGGGUGAGUAACGCGUGGGAAUGUGCCCUUCUCUACGGAAUAGCCCUGGGAAACUGGGAGUAAUACCGUAUACGCCCUAUUGGGGAAAGAUUUAUCGGAGAAGGAUCAGCCCGCGUUGGAUUAGGUAGUUGGUGGGGUAAUGGCCUACCAAGCCGACGAUCCAUAGCUGGUUUGAGAGGAUGAUCAGCCACACUGGGACUGAGACACGGCCCAGACUCCUACGGGAGGCAGCAGUGGGGAAUCUUAGACAAUGGGGGCAACCCUGAUCUAGCCAUGCCGCGUGAGUGAUGAAGGCCUUAGGGUUGUAAAGCUCUUUCAGCUGGGAAGAUAAUGACGGUACCAGCAGAAGAAGCCCCGGCUAACUCCGUG
This 433-nucleotide ribosomal RNA is filed under the name uncultured bacterium. RNAcentral describes it as "partial 16S ribosomal RNA". It matches the Rfam family "Bacterial small subunit ribosomal RNA", at positions 29 to 507 of the family's 1533-position model. The record is from RNAcentral.